UAAUUGGGGCUAAGUCGUAACAAGGUAGCCGUACCGGAAGGUGCGGCUGGAACACCUCCUUUCUGGAGC
This 69-nucleotide ribosomal RNA is filed under the name Bacteroides thetaiotaomicron. RNAcentral's name for it is "partial 16S ribosomal RNA". The stretch from base 1 to 62 matches the Rfam family "Bacterial small subunit ribosomal RNA", at positions 1472 to 1533 of the family's 1533-position model. Lineage: Bacteria; Pseudomonadati; Bacteroidota; Bacteroidia; Bacteroidales; Bacteroidaceae. The record is from RNAcentral.